GUUUGAGAUAGCAGCUGCAGUGUAAGGAUGCAGGAAGAGAUUGUCAUGCUUGAAAUUAUGUGCCUACUUUCAUCAUUGGACGACAAACUGUGACUCUGAGGAAUAAUCAAUUUAGAAGAGCUAGACAGUGGCAAACACUUAAUUGUCAUGGGCUGUGACUAUACAAUGUGUGGAAGUCUAACUGCUUCUGUAGACCAAUGCUUUCUCCGAUAUCUAUGCCGUUUUGGUACUGAACCACAGCCUUUCACCCUCCUUUGGACUAACUAUGUAGGGCAGCCAGCAACAAAUCUGUCAUUUCUGCUUCUCUGCCGGCCGGUACAGACAAAGCCAUAGACAUUCUCCAGGAGCCGCUGAGAUGAAAAGUUGCUUUUUGAACUGAAGACUAACCUGUGUCCCUUACAAUAUUUACAAAGUCAUGCAUUUUGUAUUAUGCAUCACCGUUUCCCUUAUUGUAAAACCAAGCCCAGCUGUACCUGGUUGUAUGUGUGUGUGUGUGUGUGUGUAUUUCCCCUCCUUCACUAUAGCAGAAUGUCUUUAAGUUGUUGCUUUAAUUACAUUCGUAAUGCAGACAUGUUCUGUGACCCACCUGUAGGGUUCUUGAUUUGUUCCUUUACAGCAUUAAAAGUAAUCCAGCAACCUCAGUCUGUGGCAUGAAGCGCUCCGUGUUUUGAUGACCAAACCUGUGUGAAGACACGAGGGUCUACCAGCAAAUGUGUUUGGAACAAAGGGUGCAGAAAAGGCGCAAGUCCUUUGUCUACACUAUUAUUAAUGUUCCUUCAGCACAGUUCCAUUCAUGCCCUGGAUUAUUCCUGAUGUAGGCAGUCAUGUAGAUCCCCCUCCUAUUGACAGCUAUCUGUCAAUUCCAGAGUCCUAAUGCUGGUGUUAUUCCAGAUGUUGCCCCGCUAUACAUGUCUUGGGUUUGACUGACCAGGACUUGACCAGAGGACUCAAAGAGCAGUCCUUGUUAUGGACAACUUCAGCACUCAUCUAGACGUGUUCCCCAACAGUCUCUGAGUAACCAAUUUUACCUCUGUUACUUGAAGCCUGUUGAACAAUAUCAGAAGCAUCUUUUAUGGUCCAGAGGACUCUUAAUCCAAGAAUUCCUUGGGGGCACAAUUAUCCACAAGAACAAUGUCUUCAGGUACUAAAUUUAACUUCAGAUUUCUGCCACUUUUGCCAUUCUUUCAGUAGCUGCAUGCAUUUCUUAGUCCAUGUAGACAAGAAGAGAUUGGUCAUGUUGAAUUUGCUUCCAUCUUCUACUUGAAUAACAGUCCUCUUUCUGAAAAACUCCUGGUGGCAUGAUUUCAUCAGCAGAGGGUUUGUAAUCAGAGGCUCAAAGUCAUGGUUUAGCAAUUGGUCAUAGUUUAAUGACUUCAACACAAUUGUGUGACGCGUUUAAUCAUCUAAUACCUGUUAAUUCAACACCAAAUUGAGAACUUUCUAAAUUGCAUUUGUCCUUCCCAUGUUCCACGUUGAGAUGCUGGAGUAUUUUGAAAAUCCACUUUGUCCAAAAUCCAGUUUACAAUUUCUCUCUUCAAACGGUGUACAAAGAAUCUCCAUCUUUCUGCCUCUAAAGUUUUUUUUAAAAAAAAAGAGCAAAAAAAAAAAAAACCAGCAAGAUAAAUGUAUGUUAAAAAUUUAUGUAAACUAAAGG
This is a long non-coding RNA of Cyprinus carpio carpio, 1654 nucleotides long. NCBI's taxonomy places the organism in Eukaryota, Metazoa, Chordata, Actinopteri, Cypriniformes, Cyprinidae. The record is from Ensembl.